UUGGCCAUCUGUAUGUCUUUGGGGAAGUGUCUAUUAAGAUCUUCUGCCCAUUUUUUAAUCAGAUUGGUUUUGUUUGUUUUGGUGCUGAGUUAUAUAAAUUCUCAUGCACUUUGGAUAUUAAUCCCUUAUCAGAUACAUCAUUUGAUACAUUUUCUCCCGCUCAGUAAGUUGUCUUUUCAUUUUGUUGAUGGUUUCCUUCGUUGUGCAAAUGCUUUUUAUUUUGGUGUAGCCCCAGUAGUUUACUUUUGAUUCUCUAUUCUUUUAGAUUUGUUUCCAAUCCUUUCAGAAGCCCUUAGGAUAAUGUUAGGGAGCAUAAGGUUUAGGACGUUAGUAACUCACAAGGGUUACACUUCUGGCAUCAAAGUAGCAGAGUUUGGGGCUCAGGUUCUCUAGUUCCAAAGUCUGUGUCCCGUUCUCUAUGCCAUGCUUCUUUCUACUUGCAGCUCAUGACUAAUGAAAAUUUCGACCUACCAGUAAAACUUAAAGUUAUCUAGAACUUACCAUUUGAGUCCUCUAUGGGCUGAUCUAGGUUUCUACUCAUAUUUCUAUAGCAUAUUCCUCAUAGGCUGGUAAAACAAAUGCAGUCAGAACAUAUGCUUCCAAUUCUGUCUCCCUCCCUCUGUCCCUGAAAAAAAGAAAAAUCCCAAAUAAACAAAACCCUCAUGGCCAUAUCAUUCAAGGAACUAGCAUUAGAAAUUCAAAGACUUUAUUAAGCUCUAUUUUCUUAGCAUCAAAAUAUCUUGUCUAUAUGAUCAAAACUUUUGCUGAUUCACUAGAAAAAAAUUACCCAAGGCAGCUAUUUGUUAAUCAUCUAAAUAUUUGUCAAGCAGAUGUUGGUGUGUUAAAAGGGUAAACCUAUAAUCUCAAAGACUUUUGUGUCUAUACAGAUUAUUGGUUUUGGUUCUCCAAGUCAAAGCCUUCACCUUGUAGCAAUAUAAAGCCACCCCCCUUUUUUUUCCCUAAAAGUUAAUUUCUCUAAGCAGAUUCUCUCCAGUGGAAGGACAUCUCUUGAGUGGUCACUAUGGAGAUUUGUUUAAUGUGAUCCUUAUUUUUGACUUGGAACCUCUAGUGUGUAUCUAGAUACCUUCUUUUUUUAAUUUGGUAAAAGAAAGAAAUGGUGAGUGGUUGAAAAAAUGAGGAUAUCAGAAAAGCCACCUGUUCUAUUUAAACUUUAAAAAAUGAUACAUUUUUAUGUUUAUUUUUAAAGCCAUGCAAAUGGAAAACACAUGGUCUAAUUUUAUUUAUUCACUAUGGAAAUUUUCAUGAAUAGAGAUUAUGAGCAUAAAGAUAUACAGUGUUGUUCACCUGGACUAAGCUGUGGCCUGAGCUUAUAAAGAAAAUGUUCCACAGCAUCCACCUUCAGCUAUUUGGAGAAUCUGGCUUAUGUUCACAUGGAACAUGGCUUUUCUCUUACCAAGGGGAAUGUGAUGUAACAGCCAAAGAUGCCUGGAAGAGAUUGCUUUCUCUCCUACAAAAGAAUCCUUGAUGGCAUAAUUUCAGGUAUAAUGACACCUAUGGAGGCCUUGCAUUUUAGAAAACGGAGAGAAAUUUACGUGGGGUGACGAACCCCUGACUUUUGAUAUUCACAGGGCACUUUGUUUUUGCCAAGCUCCUAAUUUUAUUCUCGCAAUAGUCUUGUGAAUCAGAUGCUGUUGAUUUUUAUUUUAGAAAUGAAGAAACUGAGGCACAGGGUUUAAGUGAGAUCCACUAAAUUACCCCAGAUGGGAAAUGUAGGAGUUUAGAUUAUAACCUUGCCCUUUGGCACUAGAGCCCACAUUCUUCGCAUUACAACACAUUGCCUUUCUAAGUGCCCUUUCAGCCAGGCUGGCUCAGCAGACCCUCUCAACAGAGGUCCCUCCUCAGCUCUCCUUCUGCUCAUCUGUGUCAGCCAUUCCCUUCAUAAUUCUUCAUUCAUUGUAUAGGAGAAAAGAGAGCAGAUUCCUGUUUUGCAGAUUUUUAGCUAAAACUGCCCUAUCCCCUUUUACAAUUUAGUUUGUUACAGGUGAGAGAACAUGAAUAUGUAUGUACUAAACCUCCAGUGUUCAAUCUAACCAAAACCAUAGUGGAAAUGAGAAAUAAUAAUACCAAGUUACAAUUUCAGUGAACCAUAGAAUCUCAAGAUUGGAAGGAAUCUUAAAUGGUCAGUUUCAGUCUUGGUUAUUUCUGAAGCUAUGCUGUGUCAUAGGUGCCUGGACAAGACUGGUGUUGUUACAGAAGAUUAGGUGCCGCAUAAUCACAGUGAAGAUUAAUUCAGUGUUCCCCAUUUGCACCAGUGUUAUAAGUAAAUUAAUCAUAUAGUCAUAUAUAUAAUCAUCACCCAUUUUACAUAUAUAUGUAUAUGUAUGUGUGUGCAUAUAUAUAUAACUCUAUGAAAUAUUUUUUUAAUUAUUCCAUUUUAGAGAUGAGGAAACUGAGGCAUAGGCUUAUAUAAUCUCCGUAAAUCACAUAUCCAGUAAGCAGUAGCUGGAAUUCGAAUGUAGGAAAUGUGGCUCCAGCACUGCAAAGAUGAUGACUUUGUGAAUGAUGUUGUUUCCAUGAUCUCUUGUAAGUUCUUUUCCUGUUACAUAGGAAAGCUGUUGAUUUUUAUACAUUUACUUUGCUUUUGGGUAACUUAGUGACCGCAGUUAUUAGUUGUAAUAGCUUUUCAGUGAUGCCUUCUGAGUUUUCUAGGUGUGCAAUCAUAGCAUCUACAAAUAAGAACACUGUCUCUUCUUUCAUUCCGAUUGUUAUACCCCAUAUCAGGUUCUUGCUUUAAUAGAUUGGGUAAAUGCAGGUUAUAGUUGUCAUGAUGAAGAUGCCGUGGAAUUUUGGAGACUCGAUAAGCAGCUAAGAAGCUUUUCAGGUAUAAUGUAAUAAUAAUGGUCUGGCCUAAAUAAUGGCGUCGUAAAAUCAAUAUCUAUUAGAGGGGAAUUUUAUAUUAAAAAUUGACUUUAACUUAGGGAUAAGGUCUGGGAAACACUAAAAGGUCUUGAACCUGAAGCAUGCAAAUGUAAUUGAUAAUGAUCAGGAAAUUGACUUUAUUUUAAUGGCUGCUGAAUUCCAGUAAUCUAUUCAUCUGAAACAAAGCAACUAGAAAAAAAAUAAUUGGAACUUUCAGUUUAUAAGCAGUUCUAGUAAUGUGUCUUUAAGAGAAAUUAACAUAUAUAUUGUUUUUACUUUUACAGCCUCUCUGUAGUCCGAUAUUUGCUCUACCUACAAAAUAUAUUGUACAAAGUUAGAAUAAUGCUUAUCUAAUUUAUGAAGUAACUUGAAAAGCAAUAAUAAACUGAUUCAUUUAGCCUUUUAAAACCUUAAGAUGGAUUAUACACUGGUUUUUCAAAUUUAGUCCUCUGCAGAAUCAUUAGGUUAGUUAGCUCUUAAGAGAGGUUGUUACCAGAAGAUCCUUGAUUUUAUUAGUUGGGGGAGUGAAACCUAGAAAUCUACAUCUUUUAGCUAUCAGUCCAGGUAAUUCUGAUACUCUGAGAAACCCCUGGUCUUGGGCUUUACAGUUUGCACCUGCACUUUGAAUUUGUGUGCUGUAUUUGGUACACACAGCCCUGUCACUCACACACCAAAUUUCAACAUCACCGAAUGUUUCUUUGAACACUGCAUGUUGUUAAGUUUUUCCAUAUCGCUGUCCAUAUGGUCUGACUUCUGAGAGUGUCCUGAUUUCCUCCCAGAAUAAUAGCCAAGUUAACCUUCUAACUCUAUUUAGGCUCAGGGGAGUCUUGGUUUUCUUCCUCAGGGUGGUGGGAUCGAGGGUCUGCAUGCCCCUCACAAGGGGAGGAGGCAGCCAAGUGAUCCUUUCUCUAGUGGCACUGAGUGGAAGGAACACAUGUGACACAGUGUUCCUGCACAUAUAUGGAAGCCUCUAGGAGAGUCCCCAGCCUAUGCAAGUCUCCUAUCCUUUGGUGAGCUUUAAACAACCAAAUGAGGAUUAAACAAAAGCAAAAUUUUUAAAAAGCACUUCUAUUACUCCUAUGUAUUUUGCCUAGCCUCAAGGAGGAGGUAGAACAGUGUUUAAUAUGGUCUACUCCGUAAAAAUAAAAAGAAGAUACUAUAUACAUGUGAGUAUAAGGGAAUAAAAAAUGGGAAUGUACAGUGUUUUUAUCUACCUAAAGUAAUUACCAAUAAAGAAAGGGGAGAAAGGGCUAAAAUUACACUACUGCUAAAAUUGAGGAUUUCCAGAGAUGGAUUAAAAACACAGUUGUGAACCAGAAAUACGAUGCUACCAAACACCUUGGCCCUGUUCACAUGAAAGUGGGUACAAAUAUCCUGCCUGUCCAUUGUUCAAAACCCAAGUUGCAUCUCACUGGGAUGAUUGAUUAGCCAGCAUUCUGAGAUAUUUGGAAAGGAAGGAAGACUGGUGGUGUGUCAUAGGAGCUGUAUAUCCCACAAAUAAACUUCAGUUGGGACUGAAACACAAAAGCUCAGUCCCAGGAAGUCAUUGGUGAAUUGAGUCAACUUACUGCCUCUGAUCACAUGAGUACCAGAUUGUUAGGUUUUGGCUCUGGAGGAGCACCUCUCACGCCACAUACUCAGAAUUCGACCAUGGGCUCUGCAUUGCACAUCAUCGUUACAGUUUAUUUAUUGGAGAAUAAAACAAACACAAUAAAUACAGCCUACCACACCAAGCAACCAAGCGACCAACCACCAAAAUACUGCAGAACAAGAGAAAGAAAAUAGUGUCCUUAAGACAGUCCUCCAAGAAGGUAUCCCAAGCUGUGUCAGUCAGUGGCAGUAUCUAUGGGAUAAGUUUAAACUUCCAGGACCAACUGUGACCGAGGCAGCACUCUGAAUGGAGUUUCCAAAAUAUCCUUAUAGAAAUAGUUUCAGCGUAUUAGAAUUUACAUAAUUUGCAAGAUUUUUUACAUUCUCUCUUUUUUUCUGUUGAAAGAAAGGGGGAGCCCCAUCUCUUCUGAUUCCUCCUAGGUGGUCCUGUUGUUCCUUCAUGGGAGCAGAAAGGGUAUAAUUUUUUGCUUCUUUCAAAUCCUAAGUGGAGGUUAGUGCUCUGCCUUUUUUGUCUGCUGCAUUCCCAGGACUGUCUCUUCUACCAUUUGUGUAAGAGCCCAGCAGGGGGCUUUCAUUAUCUUUUAUCUAACUGUGGUCUUCCUUGCUUUCCCCCCUUGUUUCCUUUCUUUCUGCAGGUAUCUUCAUUUUCAUUUCACUGGGAUGUUUCUUUGAAAAAGGAGAAAGUAGUAUGCUCCUUUAAAAGGAUUUCUCAUUCAGAACAUAGAUUAAUAAAUUGAGAGGAAGGAGAUGAAUUGAGAAAGUUACAACUCGAAACACUGCAAUUGUGGGAGAGAAAAAGAGGGAGAGAAUAGUAGAUAGUGUGAAACAAUCUAAAGCAGAACACUGAAAAACCUCUAUUCAGAAAUGCAACAAAUCGGACAUUCCCUUUCGUCUGUCAAUCUCCUAUUCUCAAUUCUUAUAUACCAUCUCUUUUUCCUGAUGCGCAGUCUGAAGUAUUUCCUCUCAUGAAAAGAAUAGAGUUUUUCAAACUCAAGAGCCUAAUUAGGAACAAGGUUUCCCAUCCUUUCAGGAUUGCCUUGUAAGUUCGGCUUCUCUUUCCUGCACUAUUUACAAUGGAGGCAUUUACAAUAAAGGGCAUCACAGUAGGAUACUGCCAUCAUUGGUAGUAUCAAAAUGAGAACAGUGGAGAGAAAAUAGACAUAGGUUCAAGUACUGCAGUGUCCAUUCUUUGUUAAGUGUUUUUGUCUAAUGCAAUAACAAGUAGGCACACACCAUAUUGGAAUGACACCAAGUGGAUUGUGAAACACCUCGACGCUGUCAUUAAAUUGCUACAGCCAUAUGGACUCAGCCUCAGAUUUGGUAUUGGAAAAAGGUUGCUCACUUCCAAAAUUUGACACCACUUUUCCAGGCUGCUUUUGUUUAGCCUUCAGGCAGUAGUACAACGAGAAAUAGAGAUGUCAGAGACGGCUGAGAGAAAGGAAAACUUUUCAUGGGGAGGAUGUAUAGGAUAUUGGUUUUAAUCACAUGCAGCAGCGGUUCUUAAAUGGUAGCAUGUAUAAGAACCACCUGGAGAGCAAGAUUCCUGGACCUUUUAAUCGGAUGUUCUGCGAAAGAGCCCAAUAAUUUACAUUUCCAGUAUACUUCUGGUUGAUGCCAGUGCUUCCAGUAAUUUCCUGGACCACGUUUGGAGCAGCAAGGAUGUAGAGCACAAUGUUUCUAGGGAGGAAAAUUAAAUAGGAAAUUUUGAAAUUAUCCUUAUCUUUCUCUCACACAUAUCCCACUCCCCUGAGCCCUCACACCCUCCGCCACAAUUUCCAAUCACUGGUCUGGUAGCUUCCAGUCACAAAUUACCUCUUUAAUGUACCCCCAUAUAUCCACCCUCCACUUCAAUGCAAACCUUAAUUAUUUUUUGCCCGAGUCUUCGAUAGUAUCUUGACUGAUCCCCCAGCCUCCAGUCUUGUCUCAAUUUAAUCUCGCCUGCGCGUAACUUCCUUUUUAAAAUAAAAUCUCAUCAAACUGUUCCUCUGAUUAAAAUCCAACAAAGGCCUCCAAUUCUGUACAGAGUGAAGUCCAAGCUUCUUAGCAUUGCACAUUAGUCCUUCCUGAUCUCUCCCUCAUCCAUCUGUCCAGUUUUCUCUCAAGCAGUUUGCCAACCCAUCCCCUCAAGCAGUGCUUUAUUUAUCUGACAGCCAUGUUGAGUCACUUGUGGAUUCCUGAACACACAAAGCUAUCGUCUCCCCUCUGAAAUAUCCUUAAUUUUCAGUUGGGAGGAAUUUCCAUUGGUCAUUAAAAAUCCCACUUGGGCAUAACUCCUCUGUGAAAUUUUCCUUGACCCUUCAAGAGCCAGCUCCAUAAAGCCCGCCCUCUUCUGUGGUCACUUAUCAACUUGUAGUAAUUAUUUGCUUAUUUUCUUCUCCUAAACAUUUAGUGUGAUUUCCUUGAAGGCAGGGAGCAAAAUGUGACUUGCGCAGCAUCUUGUACAAUGAUGUUUAUUCAUUUAAGUUGAUUUUAAGAUCAAAUCACAUUUGAAGUUUUCCACUUUUCAGAUAUAGAGAGAAGAGUGGAAAAAUCAAGGAAUUGUGUGACAACCUCUAAAAGAGGGCUACAGAGUGAUAUGAUGGUUUGCUGAAGUGAGACAGUUCAAUCAAAUAGGAUUUCUGUCUUAUUAAGAGGCUUAUGCAGAUCACUGUAAGGACCAGAAACACUUUGAAAGCAGUUAGUGUGUCUGUCUUUGUUUCAAGCCUUAUGCUUUAAGUGCAUUGUUUAAAUACUCAGUAAAAAUAUCGCCAAUUCUAUAUAGAGCAUGCAAAUUGCUAAUACUUGGGUUAUUUUAUUCCAGCUGUGCUGUGCUUUGAAAAACUAUUGGAUAUCCUUUACCCCAUUAAACAUGAAGCCUACAGCAAGUCUGAAGAUUUACAAAGUAUCUAUUUUCCUAUUAACCAAGAGGAAAAAAGAAGCUUUAUCAAGUACAACACAACAGAAUACUUUCCCCCUUCCUCCUCUCCCGUUCUCUGGGUACACCAGCCAGAAUCCAGGCAACCUGGACGUUACAUUCUUACAUCCAAGGCCACGGGCAACUCUUAAAGACUUCAACUUUAAGACAGAAUGUAGGUUAUGAAACCAAACAAUCCUGGCCCUAAGCACUACAUGAAUAGGCCACGGAAAAUUCACUGGAGUGGACAGCAUAGACUUAAGCUGGCAGCGACAGGAGACCCAGACAGCGACCCAAGGCAGGUGGCACUCUGAAAAAUGCUAGUUUCUGAAGUGUGUGACCUGGAGUUUGGUUCUCCAUACGAUUCCAUGGCAAUCUAGGGAAGGGAAGUCUCCCAGUGAACAUGUCAUAUUUUUUGUUUUUCGUAGCUUAAAUUCUCAUAGAUCAGUGAUUCAUGUAUGUGACUCUCUAGCUGGCUUCAGUCUAUUAGAGCACUUUGCUUUCUUCAACAUGGGCUCUGGGCUGAGAAGAGAAGGAAGAGGGGAUUGUGGAGCUGAUGCUGGGCUCUGAUUUCAUGCAAGGCUCAGGUCAAUGGAUGAACAAAUCAUGGUGCGUUACACUAUGGAAUACUACUUGGCAAAGAAAAGGAACAAACUACUGAUACAUGUACAAAUGGAUGAAUCUCAGAUGUGUUCUAACAUCUCUUACAGAUCUGGUAAUGAUCUUCCUCCUCUUUGAGACUCCUACUCCUCUCCUUGGCCCAGGAUGUCAGGAGCCUGUAAGAGAUGGAAUCCUUGGUGCUGUCACUAAACAUCCUGGAGCAAAGCCAAAAGUCACCUACCUCCAGACAUCUUUCUGUAUGAGAGGAAUAUACUCCUAUUUGUUUAAGCUAC
Felis catus (domestic cat) is the source of this 8277-nucleotide long non-coding RNA. RefSeq lists it as uncharacterized. The transcript has 4 exons. The record is from RefSeq and is a predicted model, not a curated record. Lineage: Eukaryota; Metazoa; Chordata; Mammalia; Carnivora; Felidae.